UACGAAGGGUGCGAGCGUUAUUCGGAAUUAUUGGGCGUACAGGGUGCGUAGACGGCAUGUUAAGUCAACUGUUAAAUUCCCCGGCCUAACUGGGGUCCGGCAGUAGAUACUGGCAAGCUAGAGGGUGGAAGAGAGAAGUGGAAUUCUCGGAGUAGCGGUAAAAUGCGUAGAUCUCGAGAGGAACACCGAUGGCGAAGGCAGCUUCUUGGUCCAUUUCUGACGUUGAGGCACGAAAGCGUGGGGAGCAAACAGG
This 253-nucleotide ribosomal RNA is filed under the name uncultured bacterium. Its description in RNAcentral is "partial 16S ribosomal RNA". It matches the Rfam family "Bacterial small subunit ribosomal RNA", at positions 524 to 776 of the family's 1533-position model. The record is from RNAcentral.